This 80-nucleotide small RNA is filed under the name Flavobacterium weaverense. RNAcentral describes it as "Flavo-1 RNA". It matches the Rfam family "Flavo-1 RNA". Lineage: Bacteria; Pseudomonadati; Bacteroidota; Flavobacteriia; Flavobacteriales; Flavobacteriaceae. The record is from RNAcentral.
AUGAAGCAUGAGGGAUAGCAGCGGCAUCCUUUUGUGAAGCUUUAGCGGAACAAAAGAUACAGCGAAUAGCCCGACCCGCA